AUGGCUGGUUUUGAAAAAAUAAACAUACUAACUAAAGUCAAUUUAUUCAAACGAUGUUUUCGGGGAGAUAAAACCUGUCAAUUGCGUGGUAGAGAUGAGAUUAUUGGUGGAGAGGAAUCAGUAUUACAACAGAACUUGAAGCUGCCGAAGAUGGAUGAUGUUUGGUUUUGGUGGAAAGAUCAGGUGCAUAUGAACAACCUAUCAUCUUCCAUUUUUACUUUUCAUCAUUCAACGGGACAAUUUCCUAAUUCUUUGUUAGUACUCUCUGGAAAGAUUAUUAGUAUGGGUAUAGGUUUGUCAAAAUUUAUUUGCACAUGA
Molecule: ribosomal RNA, 318 nt
Filed under: Triticum aestivum (bread wheat)
Lineage: Eukaryota; Viridiplantae; Streptophyta; Magnoliopsida; Poales; Poaceae
Description: partial small subunit ribosomal RNA
Source: RNAcentral